Long non-coding RNA from Quercus lobata, 367 nucleotides. RefSeq lists it as uncharacterized. The transcript has 3 exons. Lineage: Eukaryota; Viridiplantae; Streptophyta; Magnoliopsida; Fagales; Fagaceae. The record is from RefSeq and is a predicted model, not a curated record.
CUCUCACAAACACAGCAGAGAGAGCGAAGCCGAGACCCCACCAGUUUUCUUUGAUCUUCAACUUUGAACAGAAUCAAAAGAGACAGCAAACGCUCAAUGGCAACAGAAAGUAAUUUGUUAGAUCUUGAGAUUGAGUAUGAUGAUGAUGAGCUUGAUGAGCAUGAAGAACUUGAACUAGAAAAAAAAUCAAAACAACUCAAAGAGCAAGCUGACUUUCUCAAAAGGGACUGUAAGAGCUUGGACUCUAGCCAACCCUCAUCUUCAUCUGCUCCACCUCCAUCUUCUUUUUCUAGAGUAGAGGCCACUCUAGCUGCCAUUCUUGAUCAGCUCCAGCUUGUACGUAGCGACCUUGGUGACAUCCGGGAGA